This 190-nucleotide small nuclear RNA is filed under the name Erinaceus europaeus (western European hedgehog). RNAcentral's name for it is "U2 spliceosomal RNA (ENSEEUG00000022276.1)". The stretch from base 1 to 122 matches the Rfam family "U2 spliceosomal RNA". From Rfam's summary of the family: U2 is a small nuclear RNA (snRNA) component of the spliceosome (involved in pre-mRNA splicing). Complementary binding between U2 snRNA (in an area lying towards the 5' end but 3' to hairpin I) and the branchpoint sequence (BPS) of the intron results the bulging out of an unpaired adenosine, on the BPS, which initiates a nucleophilic attack at the intronic 5' splice site, thus starting the first of two transesterification reactions that mediate splicing. Lineage: Eukaryota; Metazoa; Chordata; Mammalia; Eulipotyphla; Erinaceidae. The record is from RNAcentral.
UUUGCUUCUCGGCUUUUUGGCUAAGAUCAAGUGUAGCAUCUGCUUUUAUCGGUUGAGCACAAAUAAGUACUUUUAAAUAAGUAUCAGUUCUUACUCCUAUAACUGUUGCUUGCUCACUCCAUCCAUCACAAAGUAUCCUUCAGGGGCCAGGUGGUGGCGCGCCAGGUUAAGCGCACACAUCACAGUGCAC